Molecule: ribosomal RNA, 1581 nt
Filed under: Triticum aestivum (bread wheat)
Lineage: Eukaryota; Viridiplantae; Streptophyta; Magnoliopsida; Poales; Poaceae
Description: partial small subunit ribosomal RNA
Source: RNAcentral
AUGGUCCUUAGCGCGCUGAUGAGUGCAGCUUCAGUGCCGUGGAGCUCCCUGGUAUGCGGCACCCUCGGCUUUGUGCUUCUAUGGCAGGCUAGCCGGUUGGUAGAUUUGCUGUGGUGGCACCCACGGCGGCUUGAGCGUGCCUUGCGCGCCCAGGGUCUUCGCGGCACGUCGUACCGCUUCGUCAUCGGGGAUAUGAUGGACUAUCGGCGUCGGCGCAAGGAGGCGCAAUCGAGGUCGAUGCCGCUGCGCUGCCACAGCAUAGCCCCCCUCGUCGCGCCGCUCCUCUGCGACAUUGUCCGCGAGCAUGGCAAGACGUGUAUGUCUUGGUAUGCUAUGUACCCCAAGGUGACCAUACACGACCCUGACUUGGCCAAGGAAGUGUUGUCCAACAAAUUCGGCCACUUUGAAAAGGUCAGGUUUCCGCCGCUGUCCAGGCUGCUUGCCGCAGGCCUGGCGGAACACGAGGGCGAGAAAUGGGUCAAGCAUAGGAGAAUCCUUAACCCUGCGUUCCAUCUCGAGAAGCUCAAGCUCAUGCUGCCAGCGUUGUCCACAAGCUGCGAAGAGCCUGUCAAUAGAUGGACGCAGUCCCUUGGCUCAGAUGGUACCUAUGAGUUGGAUGUCUUCCCGGAGUUCCGAAGACUCACUGGAGAUGUCAUUUCUCGCACCGCAUUUGGCAGUAACUACCUUGAAGGUGCCAGGGUUUUCCAGCUGCAAUCCGAGCAAGUUGAACGCAUUGCCGGGGCUUGGAAGAUUGGCAUUCCCGGUUACUUGUCCUUGCCCACCAAAAAUAAUAGAAAGAUGCAUCAAAAUAAUAGUGAAAUCGAAUCCAUUCUACAUGGUUUAAUUGGAAAAAGAAUGCAAGCUAUGCAAGAAGGAGAAAAUAUCAAAGAUGACUUGCUCGGCUUGAUGCUUGAGUCAAACAUGAGGACCUCAGAUGACAAUGGCCAAUCCAUCUCAGGAAUGACCAUUAAAGAGGUCAUGGAGGAAUGCAAGUUGUUCUAUCUUGCAGGGACAGAAACAACAUCAAUACUGCUCACAUGGACAAUGAUCGUACUAAGUAUGCAUCCAGAGUGGCAGGACCGUGCCAGGGAGGAGGCCAUUGGCUUAUUUGGAAAAAACAAACUUGAGUAUGAAGGCAUUAACCGACUCAAAACAGUGACCAUGAUUCUUUACGAGGUACUUCGGCUGUACUCGCCUGCUGUCGCAUUCUUCCGUAAAACGUACAAGGAGAUAAAGAUUGGAGGCAUCACAUACCCCGCCGGUGUUCUCAUUGAGCUUCCCCUAUUGUUAAUGAACCAUGACCCGGUUAUAUGGGGAAGAGACGCACAUGAGUUCAAGCCGGAGAGGUUCACCAACGGGAUCUUCCACGCGUCCAAGAAUCCUGGUGCAUUCCUGCCAUUUAGUUGGGGGCCACGUAUCUGCAUUGCCCAACAAUUCGCCCUUCUUGAGGCUAAGAUGGCGUUUUGCAUGAUCCUUCAAUGCUUUGAGUUUGAGCUCGCACCGUCAUACACUCAUGCAGUAAAUAACAUUAGACUGAUGCGCCCACUGCAUGGCGCGCAAAUCAAGCUCACGGCAAUUUGA